RNAcentral lists this microRNA precursor (85 nucleotides) under Paramuricea clavata. It matches the Rfam family "mir-34 microRNA precursor family". From Rfam's summary of the family: Human mir-34a was discovered computationally and later experimentally verified. The mature sequence is excised from the 5' arm of the hairpin. The record is from RNAcentral. Lineage: Eukaryota; Metazoa; Cnidaria; Anthozoa; Malacalcyonacea; Plexauridae.
GUUUUUUCCAGCUUGACAGUAAACAAGUUGUUUGUUUUGUAAAACAAAACAAACAACUUGUUUACUGUCAAGCUGGAAAAAACCC